RNAcentral lists this transfer RNA (76 nucleotides) under Marinobacterium nitratireducens. RNAcentral describes it as "tRNA-Thr". It matches the Rfam family "tRNA". Rfam says of the family: Transfer RNA (tRNA) molecules are approximately 80 nucleotides in length. Their secondary structure includes four short double-helical elements and three loops (D, anti-codon, and T loops). Further hydrogen bonds mediate the characteristic L-shaped molecular structure. tRNAs have two regions of fundamental functional importance: the anti-codon, which is responsible for specific mRNA codon recognition, and the 3' end, to which the tRNAs corresponding amino acid is attached (by aminoacyl-tRNA synthetases). tRNAs cope with the degeneracy of the genetic code in two manners: having more than one tRNA (with a specific anti-codon) for a particular amino acid; and 'wobble' base-pairing, i.e. permitting non-standard base-pairing at the 3rd anti-codon position. The record is from RNAcentral. RNAcentral also lists the same sequence under 1 other name. Lineage: Bacteria; Pseudomonadati; Pseudomonadota; Gammaproteobacteria; Oceanospirillales; Oceanospirillaceae.
GCCGACAUAGCUCAGCUGGUAGAGCAGUCCACUCGUAAUGGACAGGUCGGAGGUUCGAAUCCUCUUGUCGGCACCA